Molecule: ribosomal RNA, 433 nt
Filed under: uncultured bacterium
Lineage: Bacteria
Description: partial 16S ribosomal RNA
Rfam family: Bacterial small subunit ribosomal RNA
Source: RNAcentral
AACGAACGCUGGCGGCAUGCCUAACACAUGCAAGUCGAACGAGACCUUCGGGUCUAGUGGCGCACGGGUGCGUAACGCGUGGGAACCUGCCCUUAGGUUCGGAAUAACUCCCCGAAAGGGGUGCUAAUACCGGAUAAUGUCUUCGGACCAAAGAUUUAUCGCCUUUGGAUGGGCCCGCGUUGGAUUAGCUAGUUGGUAGGGUAAAAGCCUACCAAGGCGACGAUCCAUAGCUGGUCUGAGAGGAUGAUCAGCCACACUGGGACUGAGACACGGCCCAGACUCCUACGGGAGGGAGCAGUAGGGAAUAUUGGACAAUGGGCGAAAGCCUGAUCCAGCAAUGCCGCGUGAGUGAUGAAGGCCUUAGGAUUGUAAAGCUCUUUUACCCGGGAUGAUAAUGACAGUACCGGGAGAAUAAGCUCCGGCUAACUCCGUG